RNAcentral lists this ribosomal RNA (253 nucleotides) under uncultured bacterium. RNAcentral's name for it is "partial 16S ribosomal RNA". It matches the Rfam family "Bacterial small subunit ribosomal RNA", at positions 524 to 776 of the family's 1533-position model. The record is from RNAcentral.
UACAGAGGUCCCAAGCGUUACUGAGAAUCACUGGGUUUAAAGGGUGCGUAGGUGGUCCGUUAAGUCAGUUGUGAAAUCCCCGGGCUCAACCCGGGAACUGCUUCUGAUACUGGCGGACUUGAGGCCAGUAGGGGUCACUAGAACUGACGGUGGAGCGGUGAAAUGCGCAGAUAUCAGGAGGAACACCGAUGGCGAAGGCAGCUCGCUGGGACGGUACUGACGCUGAGGCGCGAAAGCGUGGGGAGCAAACAGG